CAGUAGCCGCGGUAAUACGUAGGGUGCGAGCGUUAAUCGGAAUUACUGGGCGUAAAGCGUGCGCAGGCGGUUUUGUAAGACAGGCGUGAAAUCCCCGGGCUCAACCUGGGAAUGGCGCUUGUGACUGCAAAGCUAGAGUGCGGCAGAGGGGGAUGGAAUUCCGCGUGUAGCAGUGAAAUGCGUAGAUAUGCGGAGGAACACCGAUGGCGAAGGCGAUCCCCUGGGCCUGCACUGACGCUCAUGCACGAAAGCGUGGGGAGCAAACAGGAUUAGAUACCCCAGUAGUCCCUGUCUCUUAUAC
Molecule: ribosomal RNA, 301 nt
Filed under: uncultured bacterium
Lineage: Bacteria
Description: partial 16S ribosomal RNA
Rfam family: Bacterial small subunit ribosomal RNA
Source: RNAcentral